GGUCUCCUCCGUCAAUGGCGAAGCUGAAGACGGAUUCUCCUCUCUCGCGUCGCAUAGUUCUCUCCUUCUUGCGCUUCCUUGAUUCUGUGGAACCUGCUGCAGGAGUUGAUUAUGAAGGACUUGAGGUUGCUAAGCAAUGUCUAUCAGAGGCUUUUAAGAUUGAUCCUUCAUCUCAUGCCUCAAGUUCAGACUCAUUAGUGGACAUAUUCAGUUCAGGGGAAGCAGUUGACCAAAGCCAAAGAAGUGUAGAUCUUAGGCAUGAUGUAUCUUCAUCAGAUGCUCCUUGUACAUCUUCAAGGCAGAAGGCCGAAGAUAGGACAAAAGAAGCUCACAGUUUUGGUAUAUCCAAAGAUGAGCUCUUUGGGCAGUUUUUUGAUGCUCUUGAAAAAUCUCACUAUUUCAGAAGCUUGCCCGAUGGAAAUGACGAUCAGGCUCAGUUGGAUAAGGCAUCAAGGAUAUUCCAUACUGCUUUGGAGGAGAUGCAAAAAUCUGGAUGUACUAUUUUCAACCGAAACAACCUCGCUGAGAUCUUAAAAUCACAAGGUAAUAAAGCGAUGCAGUCAAAACUUUACCCUGAUGCUAUUGAGCUGUAUUCUUUUGCAAUUGCACUUUGUGAAGAUAAUGCAGUUUACUAUUGCAACAGGGCAGCUGCUUUAACCCAGAUCCAACAAUAUGAAGCAGCAGUUCAAGACUGCCAAAAAUCUAUUGCAAUCAACCCCAAUUAUAGCAAGGCUUAUAGUAGAUUGGGUUUUGUCUAUUAUGCUCAAGGGAAGUACCGUGAUGCCAUAGAUAAGGGAUUCACAAAAGCAUUGCAGUUGGAUCCUAAUAAUGAUUCCAUCAAGGAAAAUAUACGGGUAGCAGAACAAAAGUUGAAAGAAGAGCAACAGAGGAGAUGGAAUGAUCAGAGCUCAACCUCUUCAAGCCAUGGACAAGACUCAAAUCACCAGCCUGCUGGUGCACCUAGAAGUCAUGCCAUGCCUCCACCAUUUGGAUCAGUGUCAUUUGAUGGGAAUAGCAUUCCUGAUUUGACGAACGUGUUUAUGAACAUGACAAGAGAUGCAUUCCAAGGGCAGCAUGGUCCAGACCGGCCAGAAGGAAGCAACAACACUGAUUCAACCAAUGAUCCUGUUAUAAGAAUAAGCAGGAGCGUCAAUCUUGGUUUUGGUGAACAGAUGCCUGAGGAAUUGACAGGAACCUUAAGGUCUGUUAUGGAGAUGUUUUCAGGAGCUCAACCUCCUGAGAAUCCUCGGGAUAACAUGAAUGGAAGAUCAACACCAAAUUGAGGCCAUUUAUGUUAGUGAACUCAACCUCAUUCUCGAGUUGAUUAACAUCUCCAUCCUUUUUACCUGUUGCUUUUUUGGUGAAGUGCACUCUUGCAUCUGAAUUGAUCAUCUUCCCCUCGACAUGAUUUGUACAUUAAAGAUCUAAAACUCAGGUUUGCAGUGUAAUCUUAGGAUACUUCUGUUUUUGCCAUCUCAUAUAGAGGAUUACAUUGACAGAAAAUAUAGUUUUCAAGAAGUUACAUAGUGUCAUUUUUGUACUGAUAUUAAUGGGAAAUGGAA
This 1562-nucleotide unclassified non-coding RNA is filed under the name Hevea brasiliensis (rubber tree). The record is from RNAcentral. Lineage: Eukaryota; Viridiplantae; Streptophyta; Magnoliopsida; Malpighiales; Euphorbiaceae.